UACAGAGGUCUCAAGCGUUGUUCGGAUUCAUUGGGCGUAAAGAGCACGCAGGCGGUUUGGCAAGUCGGAUGUGAAAGCCCGGAGCUCAACUCCGGACCUGCAUCCGAAACUGCCCGACUAGAGGUAGGUAGGGGAGAUCGGAAUUCCUGGUGUAGCGGUGAAAUGCGCAGAUAUCAGGAGGAACACCGGUGGCGAAGGCGGAUCUCUGGGCCUUACCUGACGCUCAGGUGCGAAAGCUAGGGGAGCGAACAGG
RNAcentral lists this ribosomal RNA (253 nucleotides) under uncultured bacterium. RNAcentral's name for it is "partial 16S ribosomal RNA". It matches the Rfam family "Bacterial small subunit ribosomal RNA", at positions 524 to 776 of the family's 1533-position model. The record is from RNAcentral.